CUGCCUUCCUCGGGUGUAUGAAAGGCCCAUCAGUUUCCCCCAUAUAUCUCUUUGAUUAGUAGACCGUGAAAUUAGCUUAUUAUAGCCCCAGGAAUCCCCCAUACCUUAUAUUGCUUUCCGCCUCGUUACAAUCCCCUAGCUGAGUUGCAUUAGGUUCUUCAGCAUCGGAGUCGCGUUUGUCUGUGCCUCAGAAAGAGUUUUAAUUUUAUCCACGGGGCAUUUGCCUGUCGCUUAUUUAUAAUUUAAGGAGGCAUAUACGCCUGCACACGCACAGCAUCCCCGGAUGCGUAAAGUCGGGUGUAUAUACGCGCACUCCACGGCGAACUCGCACUUUUCCGGACUCCGUGUUGCGUCGUCGGCAGUUGCUAUUGUUACACUAAAUUUGUUUUGCCGCCUGUCGCUGCUUGCUUGGCUUCUGGCUGCCUGAUUUGCUUUUGCUUCAUGAUUUCCUCUGACGGACGAACUUCGUGAGUCUGUCGGCUCCUUCGCAUCCGUCGGCUUCCCGUGGAGCUUUCCCUUUUAGCCGGGACGAUGUCGGUCGACUGAAGCGUGCCUCUUUGGCGGUCAGGCCUUUUAUAGCCCACCCACUAACCAAGUUGCAGUUGGAGCUGUGUUUCCCACUGUAUUGCCCACUUUGGACCUACGUGCCUGCGCCUCGACACGCACUUCUCUGUUUGACCAUCGUGAUCAUCAUCAUCAUCAUCGUCGGUGUUAUUACAGACCAGAAACAUCGACAGUCAAUGCUCUUUGCCACAAUUGCCACUUUCUCUCCUUCCGACGCAGUAUCAACAUUGACACACAACCGAAGGAGUCAUUUUUCUCCCCGUUCACUUCCUUUUAUGGCCCCACUCCCCCACAUCGAUGUAUUCGGUGUGUGCGGCGUCCUGGCAAAGUAUUGUCCUUUGGGUCCUUACCAGGGCUGAAUAGCACUUAGCAAUAGACUGACGACCAAGUUUGUCAGUCAUGCAGUUCGUAGCAAUAUUGAAUUUAAAAUAUAUAAAUUUCCGUUCUUAUUCUCUGAACAGUUUUAACCCAUUUUUGAUAAUCAUUAAAAACUCGAGUGCUUUAAAAGUGUAUCCCAAGCCCUGAAGUUUCGGAAACCGCCUGUCAAAUGUAUCAUUGUAACAGAGUUUUUCGCUUUGCCCGUUUGCCAUUUCCCGGAUGGAGGAAUGGUUUUGUGGCUCUGUGCUUAAUGCUUUUCCUUUUUCACGCACUUAUACAUACAUAUAUACAAACAGAUGUACAUACAUUUGAUAGCCCGAGUCCUGCACAUAUUUGAUGUGUUGUUUUAAAGCAAUUUAAAAGGGAUUUCACAGCAUCGGACAAAAAGCCUUUGCCCCACUUACCCGAAACGGAUUUCGGGAAGUCUUUUAAAUAAACGUUGACAAUUUUAUGGACAGACCAUUAUUCCACCGAAAGGACGAUAAUAUGCCUGGUCGAAAAAAAGAAGGGGCUAUUUCUGCCACUCAAAAAGUCAUCAAUUACAGAACUGUCGCUUUGCGUUGCUUAAUAAAAUAUUAUAUUUGCGUACAUUGGCCUCCCAAAAAAAUAAGUAAAUUAUUGCCACAAUAAUUGUCAAACAAAAACACCUCCUAGCGAGCUAAAAACUAGUAACGAUCGCACCUUAACUCACAAAAGUAAUGAUAUAAGCUUUUCUUAAAUGUCUAUUAUUGAACCCAGAAAAUACUUCCCCGGGCCAUUUUCUUUUAAAAAUUCUUGGUAUAGGAAUAUCUAUUAAACGGAGCGUCGGAUUUUAAUAAUGUGGUUACCUCCCAGCACCGAAGCAAUAUUUACAUACUUAUAGCUAGAGAGUAUUUUUCCUGUGUAGUUGUUGUCUAUAUUGCACCGGAAAUAAAUGUCUGUUUGAGCUAAGGACACGCAGAGUGUCUUAAUUUAAUUUAUAUAAGGAACAGGAAAACGGACGUUACUAGAUGCUUGGCUGGGCUUACGAUGGUACUUCGUGGGUUGCAGAUGAUGGUGUGCAAAGUGACACGCAAACCGCCCAUAAAAGUUAUUAAAAAUGGGUUUUCCGAAAUGAGGGUUGUCUGCGGCAAAUGGCAGGGGCGUCUGGUAAAUUAAGUUAGUAAUUGAAGAGGCAGGACGCAGGAUAUUUCAAGAACUUGAGCUCAUAAGACUGUUGUUAUGAUAGGUGGUAAUAAAAGAAAUUAAGUUUGUUCCAACAUUAUAAAUAAAUAGGUACUAUUCAUACUUUCCCACCCAAACGUCUCAAUGUCACAAUGAAGCAGAGCUAAAUUCUCUUUUAUUGCAACAAAUUACAAAAGCCACAGGUGCCGUACAAUCCUUUAGUGCAUGUCCUCAGGUCCCUCCAGCAGCCAGUAGGUCUCCAUCUCGCCCUUGCCCUUGACCUUGACCGUGCCGCGCGACUCCACUUUGUAGCCCACUUGACGCACUUUAUCGCCGGUGUACUUCGAUAGCUGAAUCUUCCAGGG
This is a long non-coding RNA of Drosophila santomea, 2450 nucleotides long. RefSeq lists it as uncharacterized. Lineage: Eukaryota; Metazoa; Arthropoda; Insecta; Diptera; Drosophilidae. The transcript is spliced from 3 exons. The record is from RefSeq and is a predicted model, not a curated record.